GGGCACGUGGUGUAAUGGUACAUAUCCGGGCUCUCAUUAACAGGCACCAGGGAGUAGCUGGUUCGAUUCCAGCGGUGUCCA
Molecule: non-coding RNA, 81 nt
Organism: Chaetomium fimeti
Lineage: Eukaryota; Fungi; Ascomycota; Sordariomycetes; Sordariales; Chaetomiaceae
Source: the annotation of a RefSeq genome assembly